GAGUUUGAUCGUGGCUCAGAUUGAACGCUGGCGGCAGGCCUAACACAUGCAAGUCGAGCGGAUGACGGGAGCUUGCUCCUUGAUUCAGCGGCGGACGGGUGAGUAAUGCCUAGGAAUCUGCCUGGUAGUGGGGGACAACGUUUCGAAAGGAACGCUAAUACCGCAUACGUCCUACGGGAGAAAGCGGGGGACCUUCGGGCCUUGCGCUAUCAGAUGAGCCUAGGUCGGAUUAGCUAGUAGGUGAGGUAAUGGCUCACCUAGGCGACGAUCCGUAACUGGUCUGAGAGGAUGAUCAGUCACACUGGAACUGAGACACGGUCCAGACUCCUACGGGAGGCAGCAGUGGGGAAUAUUGGACAAUGGGCGAAAGCCUGAUCCAGCCAUGCCGCGUGUGUGAAGAGGUCUUCGGAUUGUAAAGCACUUUAAGUUGGGAGGAAGGGCAGUAAGUUAAUACCUUGCUGUUUUGACGUUACCGACAGAAUAAGCACCGGCUAACUCUGUGCCAGCA
Molecule: ribosomal RNA, 508 nt
Filed under: uncultured Gammaproteobacteria bacterium
Lineage: Bacteria; Pseudomonadati; Pseudomonadota; Gammaproteobacteria
Description: bacterial SSU rRNA
Rfam family: Bacterial small subunit ribosomal RNA
Source: RNAcentral